GAGUAGUCCUGGUGAAAUUAGAAAUUGGUCUAUGCGUGAAUACGAAGCAUGUGGGUGUGAGUAGAAGGUAAAGUCCUUCUCGGUUGGGUGCUGGGCUCUCCAAAUAUCUAUUAAUGGUUGGGUAGCUAGAAAGUUGGCAAAGAGGGUGUCAUUUCUAUUCGGUUGUGUUCUGGUUUGGUGUUGUCGAUCGACUGCCGGGGUG
Molecule: non-coding RNA, 202 nt
Organism: Pelobates cultripes (western spadefoot toad)
Lineage: Eukaryota; Metazoa; Chordata; Amphibia; Anura; Pelobatidae
Source: the annotation of a GenBank genome assembly